Long non-coding RNA from Numida meleagris (helmeted guineafowl), 11260 nucleotides. RefSeq lists it as uncharacterized. Lineage: Eukaryota; Metazoa; Chordata; Aves; Galliformes; Numididae. The record is from RefSeq and is a predicted model, not a curated record. The transcript is spliced from 2 exons.
CGAGGGCAGGGGUCGGGUGCCCGCCCCGCCGCAGCGCCGUUCGGUGUGGGGACCGGAGCGCGGGGUCGGGGCCAGUGGGCCUCGAACGAAAGCACGCGCACAGGUAGCGCGGGAGCGUGCUUUGCAGGAGCCGAAGGGACGCCCCGGGGCAUCUGCGAGUGUGGAGCUGUUCGGGAACUCUUUCUGCGACCUCGUUCUUUGCGCCCUGUGCUCGCUUUCCCCCUCACACCUGUCCCGGCGGCCUGGGGACGGGCUGCCGGAUUGCUUCUCCGUGCCGCGAAGCGCCGCGACCGUCCCGCUGCCAGCCGCUCUGCGGGCUGCUCCUGCCGGCUGCGCUCGGUGCGCGCUCCCUGGGUGUCACCUCCGAGCCCCGCCGGAGCUCCGAGCGAUCACAGACCGUGAAAAAGCUUCUAUGAGAGCAAAGUUGGGCGCUUCUCUCAGAGCAUCGCCGACCUCAGCGCAAGCCGAGGUGCUCCACGAGCAGAGUAUUCCCUCUUGCAGAGCGGCCAGCGUUAUGGAAGGAACCGAGGGGAAGCAGGAGGAACCUCCGCACGCUUCCCCCGAAGCCAUACGGGCGCAUCCCAGUGGCAGCGCGGGGCUGAGCUCUUCAGCCCGGUGUGUUUGGAAAUGUAACGUGAUACAACACCUGCCUUGCUCUCGUUCUGCCUUCCUCCGUAGCUGUACCUUGCCGUACUUAAUGGUUUUGCUACCAGCCCUCUCUCCCCAUCCCUGCGUUUUCAGCUCUUCCUCCUGCCAGCAGCUCUGUACCUUUCCGUUUCCUCACACACAGCACACCAGCCCAUCUCUGGCUGCUCCCGACACUUCUCUGCCUUUGGCCACCUCCCUGCUGUCCACGCAGUGCUGGCAUUCAUGCCGUCCCAUCCUACUGCCAUGUCGUGGCCCCCGGUCACCUCUGUUGUCCCAACAUCACCUCAGCCUGCCCUGACUUUCCACCAGCCGUUGUUCGUGCUCUGGAGAUGGAGUCACCUCCGACCUGUCCAGUGCCAGAACCUGCAUGCCUGGCAUCACGGCCACACCUGCUCGCAUUAGACUCCAUCACAUACAGAGUAUAAACACUACCUGUAGGAUCUGGCCAGGGUCUGCGCCAUGGAUUUUGCCAUCGCCAGUUUGUGCUUCUCUCCUGCUGUGGGCAUGGCCUAAGACUUCAGUGCCCACCUGUGUUGCGUAUUGCUUAAUACUCUUUGCCCCGGCACAUCCUUUGGCUGCAUAAUGACAUGGAUAUGCUUUGUUGUCAUCAGUAUUUCCACCCCAGAGGAUCACCCUUCAGUCUGGCAUUAUGGGGAGUUCUCCAAGAAGGGUGUGUGGAAGAACAGGCACUGCACAGCUACACUGGCGCAGCCAUCAGUCAACCAGUCAGUCAACCAUUCAGACGCCUCAGUGUUGCACUCAGAGUUCCUGGCGUCCAAAAUACCCCUCUUCUUUCCCAAAAUUCUGAUAUCUCGGCCUGACAAGCACUUCAUAUACGAAACCUUAACACCAGAGCCUGCCGUUAGGAACGCAUGCACUACAUCCAGUGCUGGAGCGAUACCAGAAGGGUAGAGCUCAGGUGUUUUGGAACCAUCCCACAGGCAGCCCCUGGCGGGCUUCCAGAAUGCUCUUCCUUUAAGCGCGCUCACUGUGCCUCUGGAGAAGACUGCUGAUCCAUCAGUUAAUCGUAUUGAGUAAGUACCUAAAAUUAACUUUUAAAUUAUUAAUGCAUGAGAGCAUAUCCGUUUGCCAUGCACAUUAUUUUAAAGGAUUACAGUGUGUACACUGAGUGCCAUUAGCGUUACGUUCUGAAGACAGCAAAUUGACUUGUAUGGAAAUCUGAAGAGUUGAUGGAUUCCUCCACCAAUGCUUUUGACAACGAUAAAACGUUACGUUCAAUUGAAUUAUUAUUAAGCAUGUGUCUGUAUUUUAAUUUCUUUCUGAUGCAUGCAAACCAAGAGACUGUGAAGCCAUCAUCGUACAAAAUUUUUUCAUUUUGCGGUGGGUUAAAAAUACAGAGAUAUGUGAGCAUUGAAAAUGUUCCUCUGACAAACAACAACACUAGGAAAGAUAUGUUUAGUUUCCUAGACUACAGCUGUGUCGUUCAAGACAAAACUGUGCUGCCAUAAAAUUGUUUAUCAAAAAUAGUACCAUUAAACCUGUUAAAUGUAGAAGUCACAAUACAUCCUUUCCAUGGCCGCAAAGGACACACCUGCGGCAGUUGUCUUCUUUUCACUUAACUUACAGUGUUUUGAAAAAUCCUACAGCAUGCCAUAUUGUGAACAUAAGGACCUGGAAAGCCAACAUCUUCUCUAAUAAUUGUGAUUUUCUGCAAAAAAUAAUGAUGUCAAUAAUGUUCUGUGUAAACAUCAUUUCUACUCAAGGGCAGACAAAAAAAGUAAGCAGAAAUGUUAGUGCGGAUGCUGCGGUGCCUUCCGGGCUUCUGUGCUUGGGAAUUUUCAUAGACUCAUUGAUUAUCCUGAGUUGGAAGGGGCCCAUAGGGAUCACUGAGUCCAACUCCUGGCUCCACACAGCACUACCCAAAUAGCUGAGCAUAUGACUGAAAGCAUUUCCAGAUGCUUCUUGAACUCCGGCAGCUUGGUGCCAUGGCCACUGCCCUGCAGAGCCUGUUCCAGUGGCCGAUCACCUUCUGGAGAAGAACCAUUUCCUAACACCCAACCUGACUCUCCCCUGCUGCAGCUUCCUGACCUUCCCUCAAGUUCUACCACUGGUCACCAGAGAGAGGAGAUCAGCACCAGCUUCACCACCGAGGAGGAGAGAACACAACGAGUGCUGUGACUCAGAAUGAAAUCCAGCCACACUGAAGUCAGUGGCACAGCUCUCCGUGAGUUUAGCACAACCAUGAUUUCAUCUCAAGUCUUUUCUUGGUUCCUGGAGGGGAAAUAAGAAUAAAGACAAAAAAAAGAAAAAAGAAAAAGAAAACAGCAACAAAAAAACAUCACUGCCGUAACUUGUCCUGCAUGCUGAAGCUCUUAGGAGCAUAUUUUCACCAUUCCCAUAGCAGGGUCUUCUAGCUAGUGCCAUCUGAGAACCAGAAAUGUUACAGAAACGUAAACAGGAAGGGAUUACAAAGAGGCAGAUUUUACCAAGCUAAGAGAAGGGACACAGCAAUCCAGCUGUACUGGACCCAGACCAGAUCCUCCCUCGGUUUGUGCACCAAGCUGUGUGCACAUUGCAACACCCUCCGAAUUCAAAUGUGUCCAUCCUGCACACCCCGCAGUGCUGGGUGCCUUUUGCGGAUGUGUACAAUCUGCAGAGCUGAGGCCCAGCCUGGUUUUCCCUGAGUCCUGUAGGCACCACCAGGCUCUGCAGCAGCCAGCUCCCAUCUCACACCAUGCUCCAGUGUAAGCCCAUGCAAAGAUUUGAAAGCAUUUCCAUCACGUGGAUAUAAAUGAGCAAAACUCAGACACCUGACUGUCAAUUCAAGUCACUGCCUUCUGUAGGGACAUCAAACCUUGCACAGUGCCCACUGUCGUGCGCUUCUUGAAUGAGCAGUGAAUGGAUUCAUCUCUCUGUGACAGGUAGGUCGGUGAGCUACUUCUCUUAAGCUGAGUCACAAGGAAAGAGCAGGGUCAGCAUGGCAAGGCACUCCCCUAGGGAACGUCAGUGUCUGCUCACAUCCCUAAUCAAUCUACCAGGCUGCCUACCACACAGCAUCAUAUGCCCCUUUUGUAAAGAACUGGAAGGUACUUCAAUGUACCUUGUUAGAAACGUAUACAAAUAAUGUCUCUUACUCAUAUCUGAUAGAAAACUGAGAGUUACUUAAGGAAUAGAAAUCUUUGUAUUCUUCUCUUUUUAAUUUUCAAGGACGCCUAUAAUUUCAGGGCUGCAACACAUAUUUAAGUCAAGAGGAAUUUCCUAACUGAACUUUCAAAUUCGUGACUUCUUGUAUUUAGCCUGCAGUUCCAAAGGAAGUCACAUUUUGCUUUCCUGGCACAAGAGACUACCAAAAAAAUCCCUGAACUGAAACAAACUGACACUGUAUUAUUAUCAUCUAAAUUAAUCCCUUGUCAUAAAGUUGUAAUCCCUCACAAACUCUCCUUAGCCAAUUAAGUCAAACCUUUCUCACAAGUCACCUGGCAGCAGGAGACUCCCCUGCUCCACCCAUGGCAAGCAGUGGGCAGAUUGCUUACGCAAAGUAUUGAGAACUUACAUUAAAAUGCAAGUUGUUCCUGUAGUGAUUUAACAUCCUAUCUUCUACAAAUCUUGCCUAUUUAUUAGACUAUAUGAGAGGAGUAGGAAUCAUUCUCAAAUGAUCCCCUUUUGUAUAAAAAAAAAUUUAAUCAACCAAACUGAGAGCAUGAAUAUGAAUGACCCUGAGGCUUAGCACAGCCUUCCAGGACAGGAAAGACACACGCUUCAGAUUGUCUGUCCAGAAGCAGGCGCUUUCUGUAUCUUUAUUAUAGAGGAAUACUUGGAGGACAAAUUGUUCCUUGUCAUAUACAUCCUUUGUUAAUAGAUCUCUUGAAACAGAAAGGACUGCCUUGUAGCUGCUAUCCUGACAUAAUGCAGAUCUCCUCUCAAAUUACAAAGGUUGUUCUUUGUCAAAAGAUGUCCUUUCCCUCACUGUCAGAAAUAUGCAAGAAUCUGCAUAUAUUCUUAGCGUGAUUUGUAACAUCCUUGGAAAGGAAAUUUUUUAGGAUUUGCCUACCAAAGAAUAUAAUUAAUCUUAUUAAGGUCAGUUAAACUUAGUGAGGUCAAGUUGCUCUUAAUUUUUUUUUCUUCUGAUGCUUUAUCAGUUGUGAAGUAGAAAAACAAAGACAUGGCACAACACAGUAGCCCAGAUGUUCCUUUUCAGCAGUGCAUUUAGGUCCAAGAAGGAUGACAGGCAGUGAGAUGUCUGAGGGAGCCUCGCCAGAGCUUCUGCAGGACCCACUACUGCGGCUGAGAGGAGAUCCCAGCGUUCCUCAGGAAGUUCUCACAUCUAUACCUGGAAGUUUGGGGCAGGCAAGCUUGUCAACCACAGCCCAUAAUAAACUAUUAAUUCUAUUUUUCUAAAUUUAGUUGCAUAAAGGCGCACUUCUGCCUAAUACCAUAAACCAUUCAGACCUUGAAAAGAUUAGGGAGAGUGAGCUGAACCCUUGUGGAAAAGUGUUUCAUGACAGUUUCACCUACCAGGCAUGGUCACUUCCUUCUCUUUGACCAAGCAUCUUUCAAGGUACACUUUCUCAUGGACAUACACAUAUAUGCCACUGGAUGGCUAUUGGGCAUAAACAGGAUCAGGGCUCCACUGAGAAGGGCUGCUCUGAAGCAGGAAUUUGACUUCUGUGCAAGCACUUGCCCACUACAAAGGCAUUAGUUCUGUUCCAAACAGCCUCUGCUCUAUGAUGACAAAUGACAUUUCUGGUCUUACAUUGAUCGCUUUGUAGGUUCUCCCUCCUCCCCCCUCAAGAUUUGGUGAUCCUCUUACACUGGUUAUUGUUUGGGAAGCAUUUGUACUGACCUUUAUUUCACCCAUGCCUUAGGGAUGAGAUCAUUUAGAAAAUGCCAUAUUAAAAAAAAAAAAAAAAAGACUUCAUUCUGUGAACUACAAUGGAGCGAGGACACAGCAAGGAUAUUUAGAGCAAAUCAAUGAAUCUUACUAAUUACUAUCCUCUAAUUUAGAGGAUUUACUUUUACAGUGGGAGCAGGCUACUGGUGGAGUGUUCCUCGCUCUUUAAGACCUAGAGCUACAUAUGUCAUAUUGUGAAAAUGUGAUACAAAAUUGAUUCUAAAAAAUUGCCUUCAGAUUACUCACCGUGAAGCAAUUGGAAUCAGGCCAGGAGCAGAUGGUAACUCAAAAGGCAAUCCUCUUCCUCCUCUAGAAGUACUAUUACCUUGUACUUCAGUAGUGGCAUUGAUCUAAGAAACCUGCUGCUUUUUGCAAACAGUUACAAAUGACUUUCUUGUACCCUGAUAGCACACUGAGGAGGAUUUCUCUGCCUUAGCUUGUGGAGUGACUGAUGCACAUGGAAGUCAAGUUUACAUCAUUCCCACACCCCCAUUUUACCAAGAGAUCACAUUCUCUAUUUGAAGAAAAUCUCUCAGCAUCUCCAAAAUCUCAGCAUUCUACCACAAGUUUGUCACACAAAGAUCAAGCAUACAAAAUCAAUGGAUGACGAUUAGAGAGAGAAAGCCAUUGCCAAAAGCGGCUUUCUCAAGGAAAGCAGUACACAGCAGAGGCAGGACCCGAAACUGCCCACCACUGUCCCAUGCUGUUGGCACCCCCGUAAGAUGUGCCCAUGUACUCCUGAGACCGCUUGCCCACACAGUGCUCUUCUUAGACGAGUUAAGCAGUUGUUUAAAGCAGGAACUGACAUAUUGAAGGUGAAUACCAGCUAGGCAUUAUAUCCUGCAGCACAGCUGGACACAGGGAACAUGCCGAGGAGGUGAAACUCUCCACCAGCAUGCAUGCAGUAUUCUUCCCUAGUAAAGGCCAAACUCUUUGGUAACAAUUUUUACGGUAGAAAAAGCAGGAAGAUUUUCCUAUUCCUUUUUACAUCAGUAUAAUAACCAAUAGAGUCAUGAUAUUGAAAUGCAAAGAAUUUAGCCCAAAUGUUGGAGGAUGGUAUAAAUAAGUUAAUUUGAGACAAGGAAAAAGCUUGCAUAUUUCUGAGACCCUAUUCUAUAUGAAGUGAAGUCAAAAGCAAAACUCUCGAGCAUGAACAAUAUCGGGCACACAGCAGACAACUCUGUUGUAAAUUAAAAUGCAUAUCUGCAGCAGCAGAUCUUGAGCUAGUAUAUACCAGCAGCAGAGCUAUGAAAACAUUUAUCAGCCAAGAAUUGUCUUCAGGACCAUCAAGCGUCCAUUCUAUAAAAUAUAUCGCAUAAUUUGCAAAGCUCACAAUACCACUUAGAUUAGAAGUGGGGAUUCAGCUCACAAAUACUUUAUUUUGCACUUCUGGUGGCAUGAUUUCUCAGAGAUGUUUCGAAGUUGACUCUUCCGAAAUAGAAAUCCUUAUUUAAUGACCUUCAACAGGUAAGUGAGAAAAAACGAAAAAGAAAGCUGAAUGAAUGUCGAAUCACCUAGGAGGAAAAAAAUGCACAUUUCUGGAGAGGCAUAUCCCUUUUCUUCCUACCACCAUUUCAGAAAGUUAAGUAUGCAAAGAAUAAAUAUACAUUACCUUAAAAAAAAAAAAAGUGCUUUACUUAAUAGAAUUCAGCUUAAUCUGAAUGUAUUUCAAUGGCUGACAUUCGUGUCCUGACAUGCUGCUUUGCCAGAAAGCAGGCUGUAUUAUACACUAGGAUGCAAUGCUGGGCACAGUGAGGCUAAAGUGCAAGUUCAACUUGCACUCAAGUUGAUUUCUUCAUCUCUAAACUCUGCAACACAUACUGUAUACUUAAAAGUCAUUUUUAUUUUAACUGCUUACACACUAAUAUUUUAAUUAUUCUUAAUUUCUAGGAAAAUGAAGGGAAAAAGUUGAGGUCUUUAUAUUUUUUUGUAUACAUAAAACCUUUCCACACAGCGAGGCAAUGAAAUAGAGCAGCUUUCUAUUGCCACAUAUGGACUGACUGAACAUUUAGAAAUGGAAAGAAAUAGAAUAUUCCUCUAGGACAGUAAAACACUACCUAAUUAUGGGCUUGUAGAAAGCAAGCAGUAACUUAUCCUAAAAUUCUAGUACUGAACCCUGUGGUCAUAGCAGGCAGAUAGCCCUGAUUCCUGCAAUUAAAAGAUCCUUUCAUUCAGAUGCAUAGAGCACUGCCUGGGGAACAUGGUCCUCAUCGUAAGAUGAUACAGAUGUCUAGUCCCACGCAUGGCUAUGUAGCUUCAACAUCACAUCAUAUCCCUUCUUGCUCUAUAACCAGGCAUAGAUAGCUCUGGGAAAUACCAGUACCUGCAUUGUACAAUAGGGAAGAGUCUGAAGGGGCACGCAGAAAAGAGAAAAACAUGGAGCAGGCUGCAUCUGAAUGUUCUGCUAAAAACACCUGAUAUGGCCAAUAUGGCACAGACUAUGUAUCUAUGCUAUAGGGAUGGAUUAAAAACAAAGUGUUUUUGUGUCACAACACUCCACAGCAAAGCAAAGAACACACUUUAAGAUGGAGUUGCUGCUGUAGAACAGAACUAAUACAGAUAUUGAGGACACUCGUGCUCCUACAGACAGAGGAUUUUGUUCAUUUAAUAGAGAGCAUUCACUCACUCAGACAGCCUUCCAGCCUAUGUUUUUUGCUGCUUCAGACUUUGCAGAAUUACUCACAUGAAGGACGCAAACCAUCUUCAAAAACUAGUAAAAAUCCAAGUCUCCCUUUCUCCUUAGAAAGAAGACAAAACACUACCCCAACAUCCUAAGCCCCCAUUACUUGUACUACAACACCUUCUAGGAUGUCUGAUCACACACAGAAAGUCAUUGCACUGAUCAGACAGUGGAAGCAUUUCAUCAGCUGGUAGAGCUAUUAGCCCAUCUCCAUCUUAUUAGGUGCACCCCGUAAUUGAGUACACUUGACCUCAAAUGCAAUCAUAACAAGUCAAGCUGUUCUCACUUUCUCUAACAGGAGAGUUUUGCAAUGCAGCUAUGCUGCUGCAAGCUCACAAUGCAAACACUAGAUUUUGUGUAAAUAGAAUCUUGUAUGACAAUGGCAUAGCUAUAUUUGCACAAACUUCCCCUGGUCUAUGAGAGACCUAAGGGCUAGUGAUAAAUGAAUGGGAUGGGACCAUUUGGGUAAUCGGGCCACUAACCCUGUAAUUGCAGGCAGUUGUGUCAGGCAGAAGCACUCAAGGACUUCAAUCAUCCAGGUCAGUCUUAGAAAGUCUCCUGCUUACUGUACAAUCCCUUCCAUCAGCUUAUCAAGCUGAAUGAUAAAGCAGUUGAAGUUACAUCUCUCUAUUCUUCCAAUUUAGAGAGCUAUGUUAGAAUUAAACUCCUCAGGUAGUUUACAACCACCUUUUAAUUUCCAGCCUAAAUAUAUUCACAGCCAAUCUUAUUUCCUUUCUGCCACCAUUUGUCUGUCUGGUCUAUUUGUGAUUCAGUCCUUAUUUAUGACUCACCAGUGUGAAAGAUAAGAUUUGUGGCUUAGCGAGUGGCCUAAUUGCCCAAGCAAUGAUUACAUUAGAAAUGCUCAAAAGGAAACAUGUGAGUGCCCUUUUUAAAGCCCAAUUAAGAAUAUAUGUUUACAUCUAAUCAUCUCUAAAUAAAAAUUUUAAAAUCCAUUUGACCUGGUGUUGCCUCAAUAAAUAUUUAUGCUGUAUUUACUAAUUAAUUACUGCAGCAAUUUUCUCUCUGAUCCUCUUGUUCUGUGUGCAUGAAGAACACCGCAAGGCAAUUGAAUAUAUGAUGAUGCCACCUUUCUCUGUUUCAUUAGCCUCUAGCUGAGGGAGCAACCGGCUCCCUCAAUGUCUGUGCUGGACUCUGGCUCAGAUGAGCUUGGUGGAGCUGACGGUACAUGGGCAGCUUCCAAAACAGCUGGAACAAACGGCCAAGUUAUCUUUGCUCCAUUGGUCAUGGGAGUAUGUUCUGCCUUUGGUUCAUCAGCUCUGCCCCAGAAAGGUCUGGCUGGAAUUUCAGCUGCUCCUAGAUGUUUGGAUAACAAGAGUGGACAACAGCAUUUUUUUUUUUUCCAAAACGUGCUUAGAUCUCAUUUCUGCACUGCACUAAAUGUAAUGGGAUGAAAGGCUUUGCAAGAGCAAAAAUGAAGGCUCAUAGACUGGGGAAAGUUGUUUCAGUAUUAAUUAUUAAUUAUUAUUUUUCUUGCAGGAGAACCUAGAGGCUCUAGCAACAGAUGAGAUCUCUGUUGUCCUCAGCAACAUAAGAAGUUGGAAAAAAUGGCCGGCUCUUGCCCCAGAGAAGAUUACAUUUGGUGGAGCAAUAGGAAACAUUUUCUUGGAAAAUGCUGUAUUAUUUCAUGGCAGUCUAUCAACUCCUGGUUUCAGAUGUUUUAUCCACCACCUAUUUCACGAAUGUUAUUUAGGGCUUGAUCCUCAGCUAGCAUACAUCAAGCACUGGGCUAUGUAAGUCAGCAGAGCCCUGCUGAUUUAUGUUUGCUGCGUCACCUCAGUGAAGCUGAUGAAGUUAUGCCAACUGACAUCAGCUCAGGAUCUGGCCCCCAGGUGCUGUCAAUGCCAUUUAGUGCCACCUCUUUUUCUGCUGCUUCCUUAGCACUGUGAGAUUCUUCUGGCUGACUGUAGGAGCCAAAGAGACAGCUCCGUUUCCUGUACCCAGCCUCCCCUCCAGCUCAUUAACUCCAGUAGGAACUGGGGUGUGGGAGGGGAGAAGAUCCGGCCCCUUAGAGGCGGUUCCAUUUAUAAAUAUUGACUUUAAUGUUAAUUUCAUGUAGUUGCUUGUAAAAGUCUUUUGGGCUGAAGCAGAAGGCAUACUGCAGAUGGCAAGUAUAUUUUUCACAGUUUUUAUGGUGGAUAACAAUAUACUUGACAUUUUGCUCAUUAAAUGUGAGCCCUGGUAUGUGAGUAAACAUGCUAGGCAUCUGCGCUCUAAAAUUACCAGUGUGAAAAGCAACAACUGAAAUGUUUCAGUCAAUAAAUGUACAGCACAGAAGCAACAUUCAGCAACUUUCUGAAUGCUGCGUGCAAGGCGUGGACUCAAUUUGCAACACUACAUGGAACACUCUAGAACCAACAAGGGAGAGGCAGCAUAUUGCUUUUGCAUCUGUACUUUGGAGGGAGAGGACUGAAUCCAAAAAUCUCAGAAGUCAAUGUAAACGUGGUAGACCAUACCCAUCAAUUUCAGUUUCUAAGGCAAUCAACACAUGCAUAGUCAAAUGACAAAACUACAUCAGAAGGAAAGGAAGACAACCCAAAUUAGCUCAAACGGUGAUCUGUGGAGGGUGAUCUAUGAAGGGAAAGCCUGUUUGCCAUUGGGAAGAGCAGCAUAACUGAAUAAGAAUGGGCAGGAGGACAGACAUGCAGUGCAAUGUAAGCAGUAGUGUUGUGAGCAACCAGAAGGAAAUCAAAGAGAAUGGAAGGCACAGAAUUGGUUCUCCUUUCUACUACAGCAAUUUUUCUUUUCCUUGUCUUUGGAUUUUGGCACAUUCUCCUGAAAUGAUAAAGAGAAAAGAUGAAAACUAAAAUGGAUAGUAGGUAGAUGCAGGAUCUUAAAUUAGUAUCUGUUUUUUACUUGAGUUUUAAACAUUCUGGAAAUACUACCUUGAGAUGGCUGCAAUUUUGAGCAGUAGUGAGAUAAAAUAAAACUAGAAGUAAAAAGAAAAAGAAUUAGCGUAAGACAUCUUGUAAUGUGCACUAAUCCAAGCUGUUCCAGAAAACAAUGUCAUGUAGGCAAGGAUAGCAAGUUCAAAUUAUAAAAAAUAAAAGAUAUCUGUUUUU